This 281-nucleotide small nuclear RNA is filed under the name Octodon degus (degu). Its description in RNAcentral is "7SK RNA (ENSODEG00000024544.1)". It matches the Rfam family "7SK RNA". Rfam says of the family: 7SK was discovered as an abundant small nuclear RNA in the mid-70s but a possible function has only recently been suggested. Two independent studies have found that 7SK RNA binds the CDK9/cyclin T complex (known as elongation factor P-TEFb). P-TEFb activates transcription by phosphorylating the C-terminal domain of RNA polymerase II. Lineage: Eukaryota; Metazoa; Chordata; Mammalia; Rodentia; Octodontidae. The record is from Rfam by way of RNAcentral.
GGGUGAGAGGGCGAGCUGGCUGUGCCAUCUGUCCCCCUACUGGUCGCCAGGCUGGAUGCGGCUGACCCGGCUGUCUGGCGGGUGUCCCCUCCCUCCCUCAAUGCUCCACGUGUGUCCCUCCCAAGCUGCACACUCAGUCAUGAGUGUAUGAGCAACUGCGCUCUCCUGCUGGAACCUCUGAACAAGCUCUCAUGAAACACGGAGCUGCUGGACGACAGACAGGUAAGGCCCUGAGGACAUGCGCAUAGGCAAAGACGUCCUCGAUAGACUCUCAGCUCUGC